UGAAUUUGUUUCUAAUCCACUUACAGUAGUGUUUCUUCCUAACGCUCUCUCUGCUGUUCUCCCGCUUUCUCAGGAAAAGGAGCUAAACAAAACACCCAAAACAGUUAUCCAGGUAUCAAAGCAGAGGAAUGGGGCACCUUCCUUCACUGCAAAAACCAGAUUUUCACAGAUUUCAGUGAAAUCCGGAAAGAGAUCAAGGAGGAAACCGAUCGCAGUACCAAUAAUAAGGGCAUCAGUCCAGAGCCCAUUUACCUGAAGAUCUAUUCCCCUAACGUACUCAGUCUGACAUUAGUUGACUUGCCUGGCAUCACUAAG
This is a long non-coding RNA of Sinocyclocheilus rhinocerous, 315 nucleotides long. RefSeq lists it as uncharacterized. The transcript has 4 exons. NCBI's taxonomy places the organism in Eukaryota, Metazoa, Chordata, Actinopteri, Cypriniformes, Cyprinidae. The record is from RefSeq and is a predicted model, not a curated record.